RNAcentral lists this long non-coding RNA (469 nucleotides) under Mytilus galloprovincialis (Mediterranean mussel). Lineage: Eukaryota; Metazoa; Mollusca; Bivalvia; Mytilida; Mytilidae. The record is from RNAcentral.
CUCGCUUUUUUGUAAUUUCGAUAAUGCAAAUGUUGAAAUAAAAAAUAGCAACACUUUAACAUGCAAGUUUAUCAAAUAUUCAAAGUCAUGGAACCAUGACUGAAGGUACAUGGCUAAACAAUCUCCAUGGAAAUGAGAUGUGCCAAUGCUAAUACAACUGCAUACCAAAUACCAUUGACUAAUCAUAAGUAGUUCUCUUUAAACAAACCUAAACACAAACUUAUAAAUGUAAACCAAGCAAAAUAUCAAAGUCAAUGAACCAUAACUGAGGGAAAGGUAAAAACAAUCUCCAUGGUAAUGAGAUGUGCCAGCGUUAAUACAACUGCAUACCAAGUAUCAUUGACCUACCACUACUGGUUCCCCAUAAACUGACCUAAUCACAAACUAAUACAUGAAAACUAAGCAAAAGUUUCAAAGUCAAUAGACCAUGACUGAAGGGGAGGGGCCAAAUAAUCUCCAUGGAAAUGAG